GAUUCCUCGAGUAACGGCGAGUGAAAGGGGAGAAGCUCAGCGUGUAGCCUCGGGGAUGCCCUCCAAGUGAGUGUGUUAAUCCUACGAUGGGAUGCCACGUAUGGGAGAACGCUAGAAGAGUCCGCGACCCGGCAAUCCGAACUGUUUGAUGAAACAUUGCCCAGAGAGGGUGUUAGGCCCGUAGGACCGUCGGUCGUGACUUUUCGCGGUGUUCUCUCGAGAGUCGGGUUGUUUGAGAAUACAGCCUUAAGAGGUGGGAAACUCCAUCUAAAGCUAAAUAUUACUGCGAGACCGAUAGCGAACAAGUACCGUGAGGGAAAGUUGAAAAGGACUCUGAAGAGAGGGUUCAAGAGAGCGUGAAACUGCCACGGGGAUAAAGCGGAUACAUUAGCGUAGUCGAAAAGGGAGAUACAACUCGUUGGCCGUCGACCCCUCGAUUUCGACGUCCGUCAGGAAUUACCCACUCUAACGCGAGAUUCGUCGAGCUUAGGUGUUCUUGGUUCCGGUCGGCGCGUCGAUCGAGCGUGCGUACGUUCACCAACGAGUCUACUUCACACCUCAGUAGGCCGUCGCGACGGUCGGCAAGUUGUCGAAGGCUUUUUGAAAGGUCGCGGGAACCUUUCGUCGCGGUUUGGGCGCUCCGGCGUCCAACGCCGCCGACGAAGGGGGACGCUUUCACGAAUUUACUGGCGGACUUGACGACCGGAGAAAUGAACGUUCGCGUAGCGGGUGGGCGACGCGGUGAGGGUGCAAACCCGAUCCCCUAACCCGCCCCUGCGACACGUGAGUGCGGCGCUCAUAGCGAUCAAUUUAUCCGUCCCGUCUUGAAACACGGACCAAGGAGUCUAACAUGUACGCGAGUCAAAGGGUCUACUAAACCCCUAGGCGUAAUGAAAGUAAAUCAGGAUCGAUCCGCGCUUUUCCGCGCCGCUGGGUUGUGCGUUCGCGCGCGCCCACGGUCGGAAAACCGGCGCAAAUCCGGGACCCGUCUUACUGCUUUUCCUCGGAGAAGUUCACGUGGCGGGUACCUCGAGUGUACACGUUGGUACCCGAAAGAUGGUGAUCUAUGCUUGGCCGGGAUGAAGCCAGAGGAAACUCUGGUGGAG
This 1106-nucleotide ribosomal RNA is filed under the name Paramunnopsis sp. 1 D2. RNAcentral describes it as "eukaryotic LSU rRNA". It matches the Rfam family "Eukaryotic large subunit ribosomal RNA", at positions 73 to 872 of the family's 3401-position model. The record is from RNAcentral. Lineage: Eukaryota; Metazoa; Arthropoda; Malacostraca; Isopoda; Munnopsidae.